Gasterosteus aculeatus aculeatus (three-spined stickleback) is the source of this 458-nucleotide long non-coding RNA. Lineage: Eukaryota; Metazoa; Chordata; Actinopteri; Perciformes; Gasterosteidae. The record is from Ensembl.
CGACACAGCUUUACCAACUGUAAUGAAGAUCUGCUUGGUCGUAUUAAACCGCACCAAUCUCUUAACCAGGAAGAGCGGGAGCAGUUAUGGGGGAAGAUGGUCUGCAGGAAUGGUGGUAAUCAGGUAGCCGGGCUGCUGCUCUCUUUAUGGUGCAACAAAGGUAGCCUCGCACUCUUACUGUCUCACUCCCUGUUGUUAUGUGCUCUUCCCUCUGUGUGGUGCUUUUUUUGUAACGAUGUUAUGUGUGUACAGAAAAUGCCUUAUUGGUGUGAACGCUGCUUUGAGUGUUAACUAUAUGCGUGUGUGUUUUUUUUGUUAUUCACAUUUUUUGUUCUUAAAGACAGGGGGACUCCCACUGUCAUUGGUUUGUAUCAUGUGCCUUCAUUGCAUGCCGGUGUGGGAUGAGCAUGCAAUGUGUGAAAGAACCGCAUUGAACCCACAGGGAGGACAGAUCACAG